RNAcentral lists this ribosomal RNA (253 nucleotides) under uncultured bacterium. RNAcentral's name for it is "partial 16S ribosomal RNA". It matches the Rfam family "Bacterial small subunit ribosomal RNA", at positions 524 to 776 of the family's 1533-position model. The record is from RNAcentral.
UACGUAGGGUGCAAGCGUUAAUCGGAAUUACUGGGCGUAAAGCGUGCGCAGGCGGUUGUGCAAGACAGAUGUGAAAUCCCCGGGCUCAACCCGGGAACUGCGUCCGAUACUGGCAGGCUUGAAUCCGGGAGAGGGAUGCGGAAUUCCAGGUGUAGCGGUGAAAUGCGUAGAUAUCUGGAGGAACACCGGUGGCGAAGGCGGCAUCCUGGACCGGCAUUGACGCUGAGGCGCGAAAGCCAGGGGAGCAAACGGG